ACUCCUACGGGAGGCAGCAGUGGGGAAUUUUGGACAAUGGGCGAAAGCCUGAUCCAGCAAUGCCGCGAGUGAAGAAGGCCUUCGGGUUGUAAAGCUCUUUUGUCAGGGAAGAAACGGUGAAAGCUAAUAUCUUUUGCUAAUGACGGUACCUGAAGAAUAAGCACCGGCUAACUACGUGCCAGCAGCCGCGGUAAUACGUAGGGUGCAAGCGUUAAUCGGAAUUACUGGGCGUAAAGCGUGCGCAGGCGGUUUUGUAAGUCUGAUGUGAAAUCCCCGGGCUCAACCUGGGAAUUGCAUUGGAGACUGCAAGGCUAGAAUCUGGCAGAGGGGGGUAGAAUUCCACGUGUAGCAGUGAAAUGCGUAGAUAUGUGGAGGAACACCGAUGGCGAAGGCAGCCCCCUGGGUCAAGAUUGACGCUCAUGCACGAAAGCGUGGGGAGCAAACAGGAUUAGAAACCCGGGUAGUCC
Molecule: ribosomal RNA, 467 nt
Filed under: uncultured organism
Description: partial 16S ribosomal RNA
Rfam family: Bacterial small subunit ribosomal RNA
Source: RNAcentral